This 1572-nucleotide ribosomal RNA is filed under the name Ochotona argentata (Helan Shan pika). Its description in RNAcentral is "16S ribosomal RNA". It matches the Rfam family "Bacterial large subunit ribosomal RNA", at positions 274 to 2837 of the family's 2925-position model. Lineage: Eukaryota; Metazoa; Chordata; Mammalia; Lagomorpha; Ochotonidae. The record is from RNAcentral.
GCCACUUCUAGCCCAACCACCCACCCAUAUAACUAAACACACUAUUAAAACAAAACAUUCACCAUAUUUAAAGUAUAGGAGAUAGAAAUACACCUCAGGAGCUAUAGAGAUAGUACCGUAAGGGAAAGAUGAAAGAUCAGUUAACAGCGCUAAAAAGCAAAGAUUCACCCUUGUACCUUUUGCAUAAUGAAUUAGCUAGAAACCACUUGGCAAAAAGAAUUUUAGUCAAAGACCCCGAAACCAGGCGAGCUACCUGUGAGCAGCUUCUUAAGAGCGAACCCGUCUAUGUGGCAAAAUAGUGGGACGACUUACAGAUAGAGGUGAAAAGCCAAACGAGCCCGGUGAUAGCUGGUUGUCCAAGUAAGAAUUUCAGUUCGACUUUAUGCUUGCCAACAGAGACUAUAAUCAAAAUGCAAGCAUAAAAUCUAGUCUAAGAGGGGACAGCCCCUUAGAGUUAGGAUACAGCCUGAGUUGGAGAGUAAGUUCUACCCGCCACCAUAGUUGGCCUAAAAGCAGCCAUCAAUUAAGAAAGCGUUAAAGCUCAACCUCAACCCUAAACUAAAUUCCACACUAUAAACCACGAACUCCCAAAACACUAACACUGGACCAAUCUAUAUACUUAUAGAAGAAACACUGCUAAUAUGAGUAACAAGAACCCACUUUCUCCUUGGCACAAGUUUAUAUCAGAUCGAAUACCCACUGAUAGUUAACACCCAUACGUAAACACCCACACCUGAAAACUUACGUAAUUUCUACUGUUGGCCCAACACAGGAGUGCAUUCAGGGAAAGAUUAAAAGGAGUGGAAGGAACUCGGCAAACCAAAGCCCCGCCUGUUUACCAAAAACAUCACCUCUAGCAUCACAAGUAUUAGAGGCACUGCCUGCCCAGUGACGCAAGUUCAACGGCCGCGGUAUCCUGACCGUGCAAAGGUAGCAUAAUCAUUUGUUCCUUAAUUAGGGACUUGUAUGAAUGGCAACACGAGGGCUCAACUGUCUCCCGCUCCAAGUCAGUGAAAUUGACCUCCCCGUGAAGAGGCGGGGAUAAGACAAUAAGACGAGAAGACCCUAUGGAGCUUUAAUUAACUGGCUUACACAAACAAAUCACCCCUCCACACGAGCCCAACAAAUUAUGCCUCUAAGCCAGAAAUUUUGGUUGGGGUGACCUCGGAGCACAGAUCAACCUCCGAAUGAAUAUAGCCACGACUAACCUGUCUAAGCAACUAACCCAUCAAUUGACCCAAUUUAUUGAUCAAUGGAACAAGUUACCCUAGGGAUAACAGCGCAAUCCUAUUCUAGAGUCCAUAUCGACAAUAGGGUUUACGACCUCGAUGUUGGAUCAGGACACCCAAAUGGUGCAACCGCUAUUAAAGGUUCGUUUGUUCAACGAUUAAAGUCCUACGUGAUCUGAGUUCAGACCGGAGCAAUCCAGGUCGGUUUCUAUCUAUUCACCCACUCCUCCCAGUACGAAAGGACAAGAGGAGUAGAGCCCACUGCACCCCAGCGCUCUAAGCCCAAUAGAUGAAACAAUCUUAAUCUAGUAAACUAAUUCCACCCUGCCCGAGACCAGGGCUU